UAUAUUUGCAACUAUCAAAAAUACAUAAAAAUUAUUAAAAUUAAUAUUGGCAUG
This 54-nucleotide non-coding RNA is filed under the name unclassified sequences. Its description in RNAcentral is "S15-Flavobacteria ribosomal protein leader". It matches the Rfam family "S15-Flavobacteria ribosomal protein leader". The record is from RNAcentral.